CUCGACAAGUUGAAAAUAUAAAAUAGAUGCAUUAUUUAUACGGAUGAGAGCUUGGGUUUUUGUUGAAAAUUUUUAUUUCCCUGGUUUCCAAUCCUCGAGCACAAUGAAUUCGCUUAAGAUUGACAAUGAAUUAAUAAGAGGGGCAUGAUAAUAAAUAUUGUUUUAGACGUUACAGCGCAAACUAAUUUUUAGGCAUUCUAUUGAUUGACUAAUUUGGAAUGCAACAAAAAAAUAAAUAAUACAUGUUUGAAGAAUAUUUGGUCAAGUUCUUGUAAGCUACUUCACAAUUUGAAGUUUCCAAAUUAUUUUUGUUGCUUUAGAUUUGUCUUUAAAAGCCUCACUUGACGGAAAUCGUGAAGAAUGAUGAAAUAAAAUGGAAAGUUGAAGAGUUAGAUGCAAAUUACAACUAGAAAAGGCAAAGGAGUAUUAUCUCCAGCAUAAUCAGUAAUUUUCAGAAUCCAAACUCUUCCCAGUUGAUGUAGCUUUGAUUAGAUAACACGGAACAUUUCAAGGGAAGAGAUUUAUGGCACGAAUCAACCUCUGUAUAUGCC
RNAcentral lists this long non-coding RNA (551 nucleotides) under Olea europaea subsp. europaea. Lineage: Eukaryota; Viridiplantae; Streptophyta; Magnoliopsida; Lamiales; Oleaceae. The record is from RNAcentral.